CGUGGGCAACCUGCCUGUAAGACUGGGAUAACUUCGGGAAACCGAAGCUAAUACCGGAUAGGAUCUUCUCCUUCAUGGGAGAUGAUUGAAAGAUGGUUUCGGCUAUCACUUACAGAUGGGCCCGCGGUGCAUUAGCUAGUUGGUGAGGUAACGGCUCACCAAGGCAACGAUGCAUAGCCGACCUGAGAGGGUGAUCGGCCACACUGGGACUGAGACACGGCCCAGACUCCUACGGGAGGCAGCAGUAGGGAAUCUUCCGCAAUGGACGAAAGUCUGACGGAGCAACGCCGCGUGAGUGAUGAAGGCUUUCGGGUCGUAAAACUCUGUUGUUAGGGAAGAACAAGUACAAGAGUAACUGCUUGUACCUUGACGGUACCUAACCAGAAAGCCACGGCUAACUACGUGCCAGCAGCCGCGGUAAUACGUAGGUGGCAAGCGUUAUCCGGAAUUAUUGGGCGUAAAGCGCGCGCAGGCGGUUUCUUAAGUCUGAUGUGAAAGCCCACGGCUCAACCGUGGAGGGUCAUUGGAAACUGGGGAACUUGAGUGCAGAAGAGAAAAGCGGAAUUCCACGUGUAGCGGUGAAAUGCGUAGAGAUGUGGAGGAACACCAGUGGCGAAGGCGGCUUUUUGGUCUGUAACUGACGCUGAGGCGCGAAAGCG
This 659-nucleotide ribosomal RNA is filed under the name Bacillus amyloliquefaciens. Its description in RNAcentral is "bacterial SSU rRNA". It matches the Rfam family "Bacterial small subunit ribosomal RNA", at positions 116 to 761 of the family's 1533-position model. The record is from RNAcentral. Lineage: Bacteria; Bacillati; Bacillota; Bacilli; Caryophanales; Bacillaceae.